Molecule: ribosomal RNA, 332 nt
Filed under: uncultured bacterium
Lineage: Bacteria
Description: bacterial SSU rRNA
Rfam family: Bacterial small subunit ribosomal RNA
Source: RNAcentral
UGCGCAGGCGGCCAAGUGUGUGAGGCGUGAAAGCCCGGAGCUCAACUCCGGAAUUGCACCUCAAACUACAUGGCUAGAGCAUUGGAGAGGGUAGCAGAAUUCACGGUGUAGCAGUGAAAUGCGUAGAUAUCGUGAGGAAUACCAGAGGCGAAGGCGGCUACCUGGACAAUUGCUGACGCUCAGGCACGAAAGCGUGGGGAGCAAAAGGGAUUAGAUACCCCUGUAGUCCACGCCCUAAACGGUGCACACUAGGUCUUGGAGGAUUCGACCCCUUCAGGGCCCAAGCUAACGCGUUAAGUGUGCCGCCUGAGGACUACGGCCGCAAGGCUAAA